Molecule: unclassified non-coding RNA, 173 nt
Filed under: soil metagenome
Description: partial contains 5.8S ribosomal RNA, internal transcribed spacer 2, and large subunit ribosomal RNA
Source: RNAcentral
AACGCACGAGACCUGCGGACCUGCGGAAGGAUCAUUACUGGUUCUAUACCAAACACGCCGGUGGUGGGGGUCUCCCUCGGGGUCUCCUCACCGCCUGCAGUCAAACAACACUCUCUUGUACUGAAAAUGACUGAAUCACUAUUAAAAGAUACAACUUUCAACAACGGAUCUCU